Molecule: long non-coding RNA, 1475 nt
Organism: Bactrocera latifrons
Lineage: Eukaryota; Metazoa; Arthropoda; Insecta; Diptera; Tephritidae
Exons: 2
Source: RefSeq, a predicted model, not a curated record
GUAAGCAUGUUCAAUGAUAUUUGAACAGUUGGUGUUAUAACAAAAAUAUGGGGACAAUGCCAUUGGCAAAUUUAGUCAUAAGUGAGAUGUCAGCUACAUUUCUUUAUAUUCGAACAUGUUUACAAGAGACAAAUUCAAUCAGGUUUUUUGGAUACUUCAUCUAAAUACAAUCCAUAGACAAGAUGCCGGAUUACGAACAUGCUUUCAGCUAGUAAGGUGUUUCCUCGAUUACAUAAUUUUAAAAUUAUUUAACUAUUUUACACUGGGAAGAGAAAUUUGUGUGGAUGAAUCUACGAUCAAGUUCAAAGGACUCCUUCAUUACUUACAAUCCGAAGAAACUGACCAAAUGCGGAAUUCGAGUUUAUACUAUAACAGACUCAACCACCGGUUAUAUCUGUGGUAUUCUUACUUAUUUUGGAAGUUUGACAACAGACUGCUUGAUUAGGCGUGACGUUCCGGUGGCAACGAGGAUACCAUUGCAUCUGUAUGCGUGUCCGAAGAAUUAUUGAAAUUAAAAUGCCACCUUGCAGGAACUAUCUUAACAAACAGAAAGCAUCUAGCAGAACAAAUAAAAAUAAUACAAUUCAGAAAAAAAUCAAUAGUAGCAUACCGGAAAACAAACACAUUAAUUUUAGCGUCGAAGGACAAGAGGGUUGUGACAUGCUUGACCAACUGGAAUAAUGCUGGAAUGACGCCUGUAAAACGAAUUUUACGAGGUGGAGUAGAAGUGACCGUCAAGAAACCUAACGUAAUAAUAGAUUACAGCAAACACAUGGGCGGUGUCGAUCGUGCCGAUCAGUAUGCUUCAACGUACAAUUUCCUAAAAAAAUCAGUGAAAUGAUGGCGUAAACUGUUUCUUAGGGCUUUGGAGAUUUGCUUAAUAAAUUCAUUUAUUUUAUAUAAAACCACUAAAGAACAGAGAAGCGAACGGCCGCUUAGUCACUUACACAUAUUUGAAGACAUUAGUUAAUCAAUUGGCUGGAGAUUUCCACCAGCCACGCGACCGAGGCUCCACUUCAACCACCGAAUCCAAUAAAAUUCACUUAAAUGUAAAGCUGCAUAGCAUUCUCACAGGAGUUAGAAAUGAUUCCAACGAUAUAAGCUCCUCAGAAGACACCAAACAACUUUAUUGUGACAUUUGUCCCGACAAACCGAGCAUGCAUUUCGGCAGUUGUUAUCUCAAAUACCAUACAAUGCAAAAUUAUCAUCUCAAAUAUGUAAAGAUACAUUUAAUAUUAAAAAAUAAGGUACAGGUGGAUGACUGUCGACGAACCCACAAUUACGACGAAUUCAUAUGCACUUUUCUGUCGAUGUUGGCACAUCAAGGCGUACUAGGAGAAUUAGUAAGUCAGCAUUUACUUCCCUCAAAAAAAAUUGGUGGACUUGGCGGAAAUAGAAUGACGAAAGGCUCAGCUCAAACUGUUACACCACAAAAACCAAAAAACUGCAAAACUUCUAAAAAUUCUGGCCGAAGA